UACGUAGGUCCCGAGCGUUGUCCGGAUUUAUUGGGCGUAAAGCGAGCGCAGGUGGUUUAUUAAGUCUGGUGUAAAAGGCAGUGGCUCAACCAUUGUAUGCAUUGGAAACUGGUAGACUUGAGUGCAGGAGAGGAGAGUGGAAUUCCAUGUGUAGCGGUGAAAUACGUAGAUAUAUGGAGGAACACCGGUGGCGAAAGCGGCUCUCUGGCCUGUAACUGACACUGAGGCUCGAAAGCGUGGGGAGCAAACAGG
This 252-nucleotide ribosomal RNA is filed under the name uncultured bacterium. Its description in RNAcentral is "partial 16S ribosomal RNA". It matches the Rfam family "Bacterial small subunit ribosomal RNA", at positions 524 to 776 of the family's 1533-position model. The record is from RNAcentral.